RNAcentral lists this ribosomal RNA (555 nucleotides) under Triticum aestivum (bread wheat). RNAcentral describes it as "partial small subunit ribosomal RNA". The record is from RNAcentral. Lineage: Eukaryota; Viridiplantae; Streptophyta; Magnoliopsida; Poales; Poaceae.
AUGUCUGAAAGUUGGGAAGAUGCUUUCCCAAUGGUUUCUGUGAGGAAAUUAGUUCGAGAAAUCUCUGACCAUAACCCCUUGUUGCUCUCCUCUGGGGAAGAAGGGCGCGAAGCGCCAAAACCUCGAGAAUUUCGUUUUGAUCUUUCUUGGCUCAAAGAUGACAGCUUCAUACCUACUGUUGGGAGAAUCCGGGCUAGGAAAGUUGCAUCGACCAACCCAAUAGACGUCUUAAAUAUCAAGUUGAAAAGAUUUAAAACUUACUUCAAAGGGUGGGGCUCAGACAAAUAUGGGCACGAUAAGAGAAGAAAAGAGGAGUUCCACAUAGAACUGUCUAUGCUGGAGGAACUAGAAGAGGAGGAUAUUUUGCCCCCUGACCUUUACGGUAGGAAAGUUGAUAUUAGUGCUGAGCUCUACGAGAUUUUGGUGAACGAGGAAUUUUUUUGGCUUCAGCAAUCCCACGAGCGAUGGCUCCUCAAAGGGGAUUUAAACACUGACUACUAUCAUAAAAUUGCCAAUGGGCGAAAACGCAAUCACUUAGAGUGGGUGAGACAGUGA